Hevea brasiliensis (rubber tree) is the source of this 107-nucleotide small nucleolar RNA. Lineage: Eukaryota; Viridiplantae; Streptophyta; Magnoliopsida; Malpighiales; Euphorbiaceae. The record is from RefSeq and is a predicted model, not a curated record.
AUUUUAUGAUGGGGACAGUUUGCAUACAGUUUCUUAAAUCGUUCCCAAUACUCAUACAAGCUCUCUCCAUUGUACUGCCGGAUGCCACAAAUUUUUUUUCUUAUGUU